This 31-nucleotide non-coding RNA is filed under the name Homo sapiens (human). The record is from RNAcentral. Lineage: Eukaryota; Metazoa; Chordata; Mammalia; Primates; Hominidae.
GACUAGGAGGCACUUUGACAUCUUUUUAGAC